This 684-nucleotide long non-coding RNA is filed under the name Lathyrus oleraceus (garden pea). RNAcentral's name for it is "Pisum sativum (pea) long non-coding RNA (PSAT_LNC001442)". Lineage: Eukaryota; Viridiplantae; Streptophyta; Magnoliopsida; Fabales; Fabaceae. The record is from RNAcentral.
AGGAGUCGUUGUCUCAGGCAUUCAGAGCUAGGAGGCGAGGAUACUAGUGGUCAACAGUAGUGUCAUCUAGGUUACUAUUUCCCUAUAUUUUAUCGAAACAUUAGGGAGAAUGUUUUGUUUAAGUGUGGGAGGAGAUUUCUAUGCUUUCCUUUUCUUUUAAUUUUUUGCAUUUAUCGUUUUUUUAGUUUAUUUUAGUUUGUUAGUUUCUUUUCAAUAAAUUGCAUGUGCUAGACGAGUCAUUUGUGUAGUGUAUCCUUACUUCCCCAUUUCUUGAGCCUUACAAAAAAAGUUUUGACAAAGAAAACAACUUUUUUUUGAAAAAUUUGGGAUUUUAGACAAGUUUAGGAUAGGAUGUUAAAGACUUGGGAAAAUUUUAAAAAAAAUAGAUAUCGUCUCAACACCGUAAGCUUCUUGAAUUUGGAGACCGAUCCCGAUACUUACUAUAUUAUAGCCUUAAUUUUAAUCCCAAAUAGUAAAGCCCUUAAGUUGUUUAUUUCAGCAGUCAGCAUCGGCUUAAGCAUACUCUACGUAAGGAAACCGAUGAAAACAAGUGAAUGAUUCUAAAAUUCUUGUAUACUAAAAAAUAAAAAAAAAUACCCGUUGUAGUCGAUUUAGAGGUAUCUGGUGCUGGACUUGGUAGGGCGGGUUACGGUCCGAUCCCCCACAGGUACAAUAGGGAAUACA